GGCCGACUAGCUCAGUUGGUUAGAGCGUCGUGCUAAUACCUUGAUUCUAUGACUGGUUUGCGUUACCAAGGACCACACCAGUCACAGAAUUGGUACGCGAAGGUCUUGGGUUCGAUCCCCACGUUGGCCA
This 130-nucleotide transfer RNA is filed under the name Scleroderma citrinum Foug A. It matches the Rfam family "tRNA". Rfam says of the family: Transfer RNA (tRNA) molecules are approximately 80 nucleotides in length. Their secondary structure includes four short double-helical elements and three loops (D, anti-codon, and T loops). Further hydrogen bonds mediate the characteristic L-shaped molecular structure. tRNAs have two regions of fundamental functional importance: the anti-codon, which is responsible for specific mRNA codon recognition, and the 3' end, to which the tRNAs corresponding amino acid is attached (by aminoacyl-tRNA synthetases). tRNAs cope with the degeneracy of the genetic code in two manners: having more than one tRNA (with a specific anti-codon) for a particular amino acid; and 'wobble' base-pairing, i.e. permitting non-standard base-pairing at the 3rd anti-codon position. The record is from Rfam by way of RNAcentral. Lineage: Eukaryota; Fungi; Basidiomycota; Agaricomycetes; Boletales; Sclerodermataceae.